GUAGGGGGCAAGCGUUGUCCGGAAUUAUUGGGCGUAAAGAGCGUGUAGGCGGUCCGGUAAGUCAGCUGUGAAAGUCAAGGGCUCAACCCUUGAAUGCCGGUUGAUACUGUCGGGCUAGAGUCCGGAAGAGGCGAGUGGAAUUCCCGGUGUAGCGGUGAAAUGCGCAGAUAUCGGGAGGAACACCAAUGGCGAAGGCAGCUCGCUGGGACGGUACUGACGCUGAGACGCGAAAGCGUGGGGAGCAAACAGGAUUAGAUACCCUGGUAGUCCACGCCGUAAACGAUGGGCACUAGGUGUUGGGGGUGUCGACUCCCCCGGCGCCGUAGCUAACGCAUUAAGUGCCCCGCCUGGGGAGUACGGCCGCAAGGCUA
RNAcentral lists this ribosomal RNA (371 nucleotides) under uncultured organism. Its description in RNAcentral is "bacterial SSU rRNA". It matches the Rfam family "Bacterial small subunit ribosomal RNA", at positions 527 to 896 of the family's 1533-position model. The record is from RNAcentral.